CUAAUUCCCAAACAGUGUUUAAAUCAUCUCUCCAUAAUCAUAUUAGUAGAUCAUCCCUAUGUUACUCUCCUUCUCGCCCAACAACUAUUUAGAUUAUUCUAGUCAGAUUUUACAUGGAUCUCUUAGAGGAUCUGUUACGCAUUCUUAUUUUUCUACUCUUGUUGAACCGUAUAUCUCGUUAAAGAAAAAUCCAGAUAACACUGAAUAUAUAGUUAUAAUCAAGGAUCGAGUUUACAUGUUAUGUAAGAGCAAUAUGAUAGCGAGGCGGAACGUCUUAUAUGUUAUAUAGAUAUCAUAAAUAGUUUUUUCGAGGUAUCAAAGUGAGGAUAGGUAAGUACAAAAAAGAACUACAGCAAAGUCCACUUAGAUUUGAACAUAUAUAAGUGUUCCCAUCCCUUACAUCACUUAUUGCUAUCACCACUCAAUCUCUAUACUCUAGAUAAUAUAGGGCCUACCUUCCCGUCUUCAAUCAUAUAAUAAUAUAAAUUUGUCUAGCAACAUUUUAUAUAUGCCUUUCUUGUGCAUUGAGCUAGCUGUAUUAUUUAAGAGAUUCUGUUACAUAGACAAUUGAAAUGUAAUUUGAUUUAUAAGGUGGCUUUUUUGAAAGGGGGUAGAUAAUGUCCACCUUCUGGCAAUUAUAAUUUUAGCAGCGACCAGACAAUGUGAUACAAUGUGAAAAUACUUUAUUUUCCUAUGCAGAAAGGUCUAUUCAUGUUUUCUGCCCUGGCGUUCGGUAGAUUCUCGGAUUUACUGAAUGAACUCAUAUAACCCAGAUAGCUAUGCCAUGCAGCCUAUUCAUGUAAUAAAAGACUUUGGCUCCAUGGCAAUUGAACUGUAUGUGGGUGUGGUCUGAGCGCCAUUCAGUAUUAAUGUGCGCUCAGCCCUAAGCUAUCUGGGCAUAUGUUGCAUGUCUGUAUUUUAUGUCAUAAAUGUAACCGUGUGUAUUUUAUUGUAUUUUACUGCCUUUUUACUGCCAUGUGCUUAAUGGAGUUUUGCCUCUGUCCUUGGAGAUAAUUGGAUUACUUCCCAAUUAUCUCCAGGAUAGAAGACUCUGUGGAACUGGUUUUGGGCAGAAAAGCCAUGCUUCCUUUGGUCACAAAGGACUACGAUCUAUCUUUUGAACCACUGGACCAAUUUGGAUGAUUUAUGUUUGUAUUGAUAUAUGACAUAUGUUUGUAUUUGGAGUAUGCUGAUUCUGAAAAUGUAAGUUUUAUGUGAAUGUGAUGUAUACUUUUAAAGUUAUGAAUAAUGUGGAAAAACUGUAUUUCUCUGGCUGUUAUAAUUACAUUACCCAUUGAGUAAGGUAAUUGUAUCACAGGCAGAGGGGAGGAUUUUGUGUGGGAGUGUCUGAGUGUAUUGUAUUUGUUUAUUGGUUGGUUUCCAAAACCCUGUGGGUGGUACUAAUGUGUAUAUAAGAAAAAUAAACCCACAGUUCUGUCUGUUCACUGCUUUGUCUCAUUCUUGGGGGCAUUUAUUGUAUGCUGUUCCAGUUUGACUGCGAGGAGUGUAAACCUAUUUGUAUGUUUUUUCCUAUUCGGCUGUUUACGGCAUUCAUAUGGUUUCCUGUUCAGCGGAUUGGUGUUCUGCAGUAGCUGUGCCUGUGUCUUUGGAAGGGAAGAUCUACUAAAUAGCGGUUUAACCCUUUUAUGCCUGGGGGUGCCAUUACAGUUGUUUAGUGAAUAAGUGAGUGUGUUGGAUCUUGUAUGAUAUAUAUAUAAUGUAAAUUACAGAUGUUUACCCAAAAAAAUUUAAAAAUAAUAAUUUGAAAGCAUUUUUGGGGUAAACACCUGUAAUAUACAGCAUUUAACUUCA
RNAcentral lists this long non-coding RNA (1812 nucleotides) under Pelobates cultripes (western spadefoot toad). Lineage: Eukaryota; Metazoa; Chordata; Amphibia; Anura; Pelobatidae. The record is from RNAcentral.